Molecule: long non-coding RNA, 854 nt
Filed under: Ananas comosus (pineapple)
Lineage: Eukaryota; Viridiplantae; Streptophyta; Magnoliopsida; Poales; Bromeliaceae
Description: long non-coding RNA (ACOM_LNC039911)
Source: RNAcentral
UUUUUUUUACCUUUUCUUUCUUCUUUUCAACAGAAUUGAGUAGAUCUCUUUUUUUUUUUUUUUUGACUAGAUUUUUUUUGAAAUUCCCCAAAAGCUGUCCCAUUUUUUUUUUGAUGGGUAUUUAUGAGGUCGUUUGUAACUAUCCUGAGGGAAAGCGUGCGAGCGAAUUGCGGGACGUGGGUAGUUGAGAGGAGAUUGUGGGAUAGAUUUGAGAGAAAAGUGGGAUGAGGUGGUUGAGGAGAACGUGUGUAUGGGUGGUUAAGAGGAAAUCGUGAGAUCGGGCAUGAUGGGAAUCCGGGAUGUGGGUAGUUGAGAGGAGAUUGUGGGAUAGAUUUUGGACGGCAGCGAUGGGAUUGUGUGGUAAUGGAUGGUUAUGAUGGAAUCGUGGAGAUAUUGGGUAGUUACGAUAGGAUUGUGGGAAUAUUGCGGAUUAGUCCUUUCCCUUUGCUCAUAUUACACCUUAGUCAAUACAAUAAAAUAUUAUAUGAUUAAAGCGGAGCAUUUUGUAAAUACAUGAAAGGGAAAGGGCUAAUAUGCUAUUUUUGUACCCGUUCGCACCUACGGGAACGUCCCACUUUCCGCGUUCAAAAUUUGAACUUAAAUUUUUAUCCAUGCACCUAGUGCAUGGAUCAUCUCAUAAACCAUCUCUCUUUUUUUUCAUUUCUUUCUUCCCCCUUUUUUUUUUCUUUUUCCUCUUUUAUUCCUCUCUCUUUUUUUAUGCUUUAACAAAUGCCCCCCACCUUUUCAAGUUUGUGAAUUAAACAAGGUGGAAAAAGGUGCCGAUCUCCUUUCACGAUUCCAACCUUCAUAUCGCCAUCAAAGGUUUGAUCAUCAAAGAUCCGAGAUAUAUAUAU